GUCUUUUUGUGAUUUAUUAAAAGUCUAACCUGCCCAUUGAAAUUUUAAAAGGCUGCAGUAUUUUGACUGUACAAAGGUAGCAUAAUCAUUAGUUUUUUAAUUGGGAACUAGAAUGAAUGGUUGAAUGAGGAAUUAACUGUUUUAAUUAAAGUAUCUUGAACUUUACUUCCUUAUUAAAAGGUAAGGAUAAUUUUAAAAGACGAGAAGACCCUAUAGAAUUUUAUAUAAAUUGAGGAAAUUAGUACGUAAAGUUUAAUUUAACUAAUUUUUUAAUUUAUAUUUUGUUGGGGUGACAAUAAAAUUUAAUGAACUUUUAUUUUUAUUAUACACAGAUUAGUGGUUAAUUGAUCCAUUUUUAAUGAUUAAAAGAUUAAAUUACCUUAGGGAUAACAGCGUAAUUUUCUUUUUAAGUUCAUAUUUUUAAAAAAUUUUGCGACCUCGAUGUUGGAUUAAGAAAAUAUUUAGGUGCAGCCGCUUAAAUUUUAAGUCUGUUCGACUUUUAAAUUCUU
RNAcentral lists this ribosomal RNA (509 nucleotides) under Chaetosciara umbalis. RNAcentral describes it as "partial 16S ribosomal RNA". It matches the Rfam family "Archaeal large subunit ribosomal RNA", at positions 1922 to 2666 of the family's 2987-position model. Lineage: Eukaryota; Metazoa; Arthropoda; Insecta; Diptera; Sciaridae. The record is from RNAcentral.